This 496-nucleotide ribosomal RNA is filed under the name uncultured bacterium. RNAcentral describes it as "partial 16S ribosomal RNA". It matches the Rfam family "Bacterial small subunit ribosomal RNA", at positions 28 to 506 of the family's 1533-position model. The record is from RNAcentral.
GAUGAAUGCUGGCGGCGUGCCUAAUACAUGCAAGUCGAGCGAACGGACGAGAAGCUUGCUUCUCUGAUGUUAGCGGCGGACGGGUGAGUAACACGUGGAUAACCUACCUAUAAGACUGGGAUAACUUCGGGAAACCGGAGCUAAUACCGGAUAAUAUUUUGAACCGCAUGGUUCAAAAGUGAAAGACGGUCUUGCUGUCACUUAUAGAUGGAUCCGCGCUGCAUUAGCUAGUUGGUAAGGUAACGGCUUACCAAGGCAACGAUGCAUAGCCGACCUGAGAGGGUGAUCGGCCACACUUGAACUGAGACACGGUCCAGACUCCUACGGGAGGCAGCAGUAGGGACUCUUCCGCAAUGGGCGAAAGCCUGACGGAGCAACGCCGCGUGAGUGAUGAAGGUCUUCGGAUCGUAAAACUCUGUUAUUAGGGAAGAACAUAUGUGUAAGUAACUGUGCACAUCUUGACGGUACCUAAUCAGAAAGCCACGGCUAACUACGU